ACGCAGCAGACGGGGAGCCUGUUUUAAGGCUGAGAGGGGGCGACGCCCCGACCCGAUGAACCUGAUGCGGGUAAUGCCGCCGUAGGGAGAAUAGCUCGUGUGCGUUU
RNAcentral lists this non-coding RNA (107 nucleotides) under Synergistes jonesii. RNAcentral's name for it is "TPP sequence". It matches the Rfam family "TPP riboswitch aptamer (THI element)". Rfam says of the family: Vitamin B(1) in its active form thiamin pyrophosphate (TPP) is an essential coenzyme that is synthesised by coupling of pyrimidine and thiazole moieties in bacteria. The previously detected thiamin-regulatory element, thi box was extended, resulting in a new, highly conserved RNA secondary structure, the THI element, which is widely distributed in eubacteria and also occurs in some archaea. Lineage: Bacteria; Thermotogati; Synergistota; Synergistia; Synergistales; Synergistaceae. The record is from Rfam by way of RNAcentral.